GCAAGUCUACUUGAAGUUUACUUUAGGUGGCGAACGGGUGAGUAACGCGUAGAUAAUCUGCCCUUUAGUUUGGUAUAAUCUUUGGAAACGGAGUCUAAUACCGAAUAGUAUCAUUGGAGUUCAUGCUCCUUAGUUUAAAGAUCUAGAAUUGCUAAAGGAUGAGUCUGCGUGAUAUUAGCUAGUUGGUAAGGUAAAGGCCUACCAAGACAACGAUAUCUAGCUGGUCUGAGAGGAUGAUC
This 239-nucleotide ribosomal RNA is filed under the name uncultured bacterium. RNAcentral describes it as "partial 16S ribosomal RNA". It matches the Rfam family "Bacterial small subunit ribosomal RNA", at positions 57 to 305 of the family's 1533-position model. The record is from RNAcentral.